This 423-nucleotide ribosomal RNA is filed under the name uncultured bacterium. Its description in RNAcentral is "bacterial SSU rRNA". It matches the Rfam family "Bacterial small subunit ribosomal RNA", at positions 358 to 773 of the family's 1533-position model. The record is from RNAcentral.
GGAAUAUUGGACAAUGGGGGAAACCCUGAUCCAGCAACGCCGCGUGGGGGAUGAAGGUCUUCGGAUUGUACACCCCUGUUGAGAGGGACGAAGGCUUGCGGGCAAACAGUCCGUACGCUUGACGGUACCUCGAGAGGAAGCCCCGGCUAACCCUGUGCCCGCAGCCGCGGUAAUACAGAGGGGGCGAGCGUUAUUCGGAAUUAUUGGGCGUAAAGGGCGCGUAGGCGGCCGAGCAAGUCUUGGGUGAAAUCCCUCGGCUCAACCGAGGAACUGCCUUGGAAACUGCUUGGCUCGAGGCCGGGAGAGGGUGGUGGAAUUCCCAGUGUAGCGGUGAAAUGCGUAGAUAUUGGGAGGAACACCAGUGGCGAAGGCGGCCACCUGGACCGGUCCUGACGCUGAGGCGCGAAAGCGUGGGGAGCAAAC